CCUACGGGCAGCUGCAGUGGGGAAUAUUGGACAAUGGGCGAAAGCCUGAUCCAGCCAUGCCGCGUGUGUGAAGAAGGCCUUCGGGUUGUAAAGCACUUUCAGUGGGGAAGAAAGCCUUGGGGCUAAUACCCUCGAGGAAGGACAUCACCCACAGAAGAAGCACCGGCUAACUCCGUGCCAGCAGCCGCGGUAAUACGGAGGGUGCGAGCGUUAAUCGGAAUUACUGGGCGUAAAGCGCGCGUAGGCGGUCUGAUAAGCCGGUUGUGAAAGCCCCGGGCUCAACCUGGGAACGGCAUCCGGAACUGUCAGGCUAGAGUGCAGGAGAGGAAGGUAGAAUUCCCGGUGUAGCGGUGAAAUGCGUAGAGAUCGGGAGGAAUACCAGUGGCGAAGGCGGCCUUCUGGACUGACACUGACGCUGAGGUGCGAAAGCGUGGGUAGCAAACAGGAUUAGAUACCCGUGUAGUC
This 465-nucleotide ribosomal RNA is filed under the name Vreelandella stevensii. RNAcentral's name for it is "partial 16S ribosomal RNA". It matches the Rfam family "Bacterial small subunit ribosomal RNA", at positions 338 to 795 of the family's 1533-position model. Lineage: Bacteria; Pseudomonadati; Pseudomonadota; Gammaproteobacteria; Oceanospirillales; Halomonadaceae. The record is from RNAcentral.